AUUGAACGCUGGCGGCAGGCUUAACACAUGCAAGUCGAGCGGGGGAAGGUAGCUUGCUACUGGACCUAGCGGCGGACGGGUGAGUAAUGCUUAGGAAUCUGCCUAUUAGUGGGGGACAACAUCUCGAAAGGGAUGCUAAUACCGCAUACGUCCUACGGGAGAAAGCAGGGGAUCUUCGGACCUUGCGCUAAUAGAUGAGCCUAAGUCGGAUUAGCUAGUUGGUGGGGUAAAGGCCUACCAAGGCGACGAGCUGUAGCGGGUCUGAGAGGAUGAUGCGCCACACUGGGACUGAGACACGGCCCAGACUCCUACGGGAGGCAGCAGUGGGGAAUAUUGGACAAUGGGGGGAACCCUGAUCCAGCCAUGCCGCGUGUGUGAAGAAGGCCUUAUGGUUGUAAAGCACUUUAAGCGAGGAGGAGGCUACUUUAGUUAAUACCUAGAGAUAGUGGACGUUACUCGCAGAAUAAGCACCGGCUAACUCUGUGCCAGCAGCCGCCGUAA
This 501-nucleotide ribosomal RNA is filed under the name uncultured bacterium. RNAcentral's name for it is "partial 16S ribosomal RNA". It matches the Rfam family "Bacterial small subunit ribosomal RNA", at positions 30 to 523 of the family's 1533-position model. The record is from RNAcentral.